This 45-nucleotide transfer RNA is filed under the name Crotalus scutulatus (Mojave rattlesnake). RNAcentral's name for it is "partial tRNA-Thr". Lineage: Eukaryota; Metazoa; Chordata; Lepidosauria; Squamata; Viperidae. The record is from RNAcentral.
UAAAGCAUUGUUUUUGUAAACCAAAGCCGGAUAUUCCUUAGAGCA